UGAACGCUGGCGGCGUGCCUCAUACAUGCACGUCGAGCGAACGGACGAGAAGCUUGCUUCUCUGAUGUUAGCGGCGGACGGGUGAGUAACACGUGGAUAACCUACCUAUAAGACUGGGAUAACUUCGGGAAACCGGAGCUAAUACCGGAUAAUAUUUUGAACCGCAUGGUUCAAAAGUGAAAGACGGUCUUGCUGUCACUUAUAGAUGGAUCCGCGCUGCAUUAGCUAGUUGGUAAGGUAACGGCUUACCAAGGCAACGAUGCAUAGCCGACCUGAGAGGGUGAUCGGCCACACUGGAACUGAGACACGGUCCAGACUCCUACGGGAGGCAGCAGUAGGGAAUCUUCCGCAAUGGGCGAAAGCCUGACGGAGCAACGCCGCGUGAGUGAUGAAGGUCUUCGGAUCGUAAAACUCUGUUAUUAGGGAAGAACAUAUGUGUAAGUAACUGUGCACAUCUUGACGGUACCUAAUCAGAAAGCCACGGCUAACUACGUG
RNAcentral lists this ribosomal RNA (495 nucleotides) under uncultured bacterium. Its description in RNAcentral is "partial 16S ribosomal RNA". It matches the Rfam family "Bacterial small subunit ribosomal RNA", at positions 30 to 507 of the family's 1533-position model. The record is from RNAcentral.